Rattus norvegicus (Norway rat) is the source of this 139-nucleotide non-coding RNA. Ensembl annotates it as small Cajal body-specific RNA 21. NCBI's taxonomy places the organism in Eukaryota, Metazoa, Chordata, Mammalia, Rodentia, Muridae. The record is from Ensembl.
UGGCUUGGUUUCCUGGGGAGUGGGCUCAGUGUACUCCACCCCUUCUCAGCUAAGCCUAGAGUAUAGGGGCCAGGUAUGCACUGUUGUGGGAGAGGUGCUUCAGCAGGAGCCUUGCCUGGGCUGUCCUAGCCUCACAAUU